RNAcentral lists this long non-coding RNA (1148 nucleotides) under Mus musculus (house mouse). RNAcentral describes it as "predicted gene, 41556". Lineage: Eukaryota; Metazoa; Chordata; Mammalia; Rodentia; Muridae. The record is from RNAcentral.
ACAGAGCAGAAGAGCACAGGAGAGAGGAGUCUGGAAGGCGCCUGUGGCAUGGUCUGGGGAUGUGGCCCACACACCCGGGGAAGUGUGUAGUGCCCUGAGCAGCAAGCAGCAAGGGUGUGACACAUACUUGGUGAAAAGGACAAGUCUCUACUAGGAAGACACUUCUAGAUGCACAACUAGGACUGCAGCUGCUGAAAGAGGUCAGAAGUAUCGGAUUCCCUGGAGCUAGAGUUACAGGUCCAAUUCUGGCAUUGUUGGCUCAAUCGAUACGUGUUUAUUGAACACCCUUGACGGCAGCCCUGGGGUCUCCGGGGGUGCUGGAGACACUGAACAGCAAGAGCACCCUCGGUUCCUGGAAAUCAUAAUUGCUCGUUCUUCUUAUCAGAGGCAGGGCCCCAGUGACCUUCCUCGCUACCCCCCCCCAAGGCAAUGAUGGAGCUACGUAGUGAAAAGCAGAGAGAUGUAUUCGCUUCGCUGUGGCCACAGUGAGAAGGGUGACAAGUAAUGAGGUCCAGGGACCCCCCCCCCCAAUCCAUCUUCAGACUGAGGUUGAGGUUUGAGAGAGAUGCACAGCCAGGUUGUCCCACCGUGUGCUGUGCCGUGUGUCACUGACCCAGACCAGUCUGGGCUCCAGUCUGUCCUGUGUAGAAUUUUUCCCUGACAGACAAGUACCCUCUCUGGCUGUCAGCAGGCUUCAGCUUUUUUUCUUCUCUGAGCAUGAGACUCCUGUCGGAGGGGAUUCCGAUUCCUGGGGGAACCUUUAUCUCAACAGUCUGAUAGCCAAAGGGAUGGGCUCUGUAGAGUCCCUAGAGAGUAUAGGCCAGGAUGGUUUUGUUCUUGCUCCAAGCACAGACCACGCCUGUGAACUCGUUUACUAUUACAGAUGGGGAAACUGAGGCAUGGAGACACCUCUAAGCAACUAAUUAAAGUACAGAGUUGAGAAGGCCAUGAGGAGGGUCCCUCAGAGGUAGUAACUCAUUCAUUCAUUCAUUCAUUCAUUCAAGCUUCAGUCAGCUGUAGUGGAGCAUGCCUAGAGUCCCAGCUGCUCUAGAAAGAUGGAGCAGGAGAACUGUUGGAGCCCAAGAGUUUCAAGUUGGCUUAGGCAACAGAGCAAGACCUGGUCUCUAAAAUAAACAAACUUAAGCAAA